RNAcentral lists this ribosomal RNA (483 nucleotides) under uncultured bacterium. RNAcentral's name for it is "partial 16S ribosomal RNA". It matches the Rfam family "Bacterial small subunit ribosomal RNA", at positions 28 to 523 of the family's 1533-position model. The record is from RNAcentral.
GACGAACGCUGGCGGCGUGCUUUACACAUGCAAGUCGAACGGUGAAGGUGGAGCUUGCUCCGCCGGAUCAGUGGCGAACGGGUGAGUAACACGUGGGCAACCUGCCCCUAACUUUGGGAUAACUACUCGAAAGAGUAGCUGAUACCGGAUAUGAAGUCUGUAGGCAUCUAUGGAUUUGGCACGUUUUUCGGUUAGGGAUGGGCCCGCGGCCUAUCAGCUUGUUGGUGAGGUAGUGGCUCACCAAGGCGACGACGGGUAGCCGGCCUGAGAGGGCGAACGGCCACACUGGGACUGAGACACGGCCCAGACUCCUACGGGAGGCAGCAGUGGGGAAUAUUGCGCAAUGGGCGAAAGCCUGACGCAGCAACGCCGCGUGCGGGAUGAAGGCCUUCGGGUUGUAAACCGCUUUCAGCAGGGAAGAAGCGAAAGUGACGGUACCUGCAGAAGAAGCACCGGCUAACUACGUGCCAGCCGCCGCCGUAA